This 369-nucleotide unclassified non-coding RNA is filed under the name fungal sp. RNAcentral's name for it is "partial internal transcribed spacer region". The stretch from base 1 to 46 matches the Rfam family "Eukaryotic small subunit ribosomal RNA", at positions 1786 to 1831 of the family's 1831-position model. The record is from RNAcentral. Lineage: Eukaryota; Fungi.
AAGUCGUAACAAGGUUUCCGUAGGUGAACCUGCGGAAGGAUCAUUAACAAACGCAGAGCUUUAUUGCUCGCAACCUUUGUGAAUUGGCUCUCUCUGAAACUUUUUAAAAAGUUUUGGGUGCAGAUCUAGCUUAGCUUAGGAGCAUUUGAGUGGAGCUUCGGCGACAGUCAGUUGUCUACUAGGUCUAGUAAAGCAAGAGAGUUUGUUGGGCGUCCCAAGUGAUAGUGUUGAACUCUCUAUUGGUUAGUUAAUGUUAAUUAAUCAAUCAAUAGAAAGGGAAGGCUGUCACCUUAAAAUAGUCUGAUAUUAAUUAAAACGAAAGUUUUAGUAAACAUUAUACAACUUUUAACAAUGGAUCUCUAGGCUCUU